Long non-coding RNA from Cimex lectularius (bed bug), 705 nucleotides. RefSeq lists it as uncharacterized. The transcript is spliced from 3 exons. NCBI's taxonomy places the organism in Eukaryota, Metazoa, Arthropoda, Insecta, Hemiptera, Cimicidae. The record is from RefSeq and is a predicted model, not a curated record.
UUCAGAGAUCCUUGGUACUUAAGAUUUCAUGAAACAAUAUUUAUUUUUAACACUAUGACUGAAGGAACUGUUUUAAUCUUACUGAUGCUAACUGCGAUGCACUCAUGAAAUCUUAUUCUAACUCAUGAAGUACAUACGUACAAAAAGUAAAACAAACAAUAAAUGAAAGAAAAAUGUAAAACUCAAAGAACAUGCAGAAGUGAGAUUUUAUAUUUAAAAAAUGAAUAAUACAGUUUAAAAAAGCCUAUCUGGUUUUAAUAUAUGAUAUGCCAACGAUUCGGUCAUUCUCAUAACAAGAUGAAUGAAUUCAUAUAUGGUUGAGAGAAAGGGGAGGUUUGGGAAUAAACUCUUCCUGAUAUGGAUGUGAAUGAUCCUUUUUUCUGCUGAUCUAAUUUCCUCAGGGCUUGACAACCGGAGUAUAACUAUAGCUCACCCUUCAGGCCGACCUCAACUGGUUACUUUUAUAAACUAAGUAAUACACUGUGAUCAACCAAGUCAAAGGCCUAGGAGAAGUCAACAUGAAAUUUUGAUUAACAACACUGGAGAGGAUCUCUAGUUGUCAGAAGACAAUAUGCACAGUAGCAUAUGUAUUUUGCUUUAAAACCAACAUGCAAAAGAGAGUCCACACUGAGAAGCUGCUCUAUCAGCCCUAGACAACGCCAAGAGAAUCUCGAAAAUCAAUCCACUUAUCAUCAAAGAACUGGA